UUAAGCGACUAAGCGUACACGGUGGAUGCCCUGGCAGUCAGAGGCGAUGAAGGACGUGCUAAUCUGCGAAAAGCGUCGGUAAGGUGAUAUGAACCGUUAUAACCGGCGAUGUCCGAAUGGGGAAACCCAGUGUGAUUCGUCACACUAUCGUUAACUGAAUACAUAGGUUAACGAGGCGAACCGGGGGAACUGAAACAUCUAAGUACCCCGAGGAAAAGAAAUCAACCGAGAUUCCCCCAGUAGCGGCGAGCGAACGGGGAGCAGCCCAGAGUCUGAAUCAGCUUGUGUGUUAGUGGAACGGUCUGGAAAGUCCGACGGUACAGGGUGAUAGUCCCGUACACCAAAAUGCACAGGCUGUGAACUCGAAGAGUAGGGCGGGACACGUGGUAUCCUGUCUGAAUAUGGGGGGACCAUCCUCCAAGGCUAAAUACUCCUGACUGACCGAUAGUGAACCAGUACCGUGAGGGAAAGGCGAAAAGAACCCCGGCGAGGGGAGUGAAAAAGAACCUGAAACCGUGUACGUACAAGCAGUGGGAGCACCUUCGGGUGUGACUGCGUACCUUUUGUAUAAUGGGUCAGCGACUUAUAUUCUGUAGCAAGGUUAACCGUAUAGGGGAGCCGCAGGGAAACCGAGUCUUAACUGGGCGUUAAGUUGCAGGGUAUAGACCCGAAACCCGGUGAUCUAGCCAUGGGCAGGUUGAAGGUUGGGUAACACUAACUGGAGGACCGAACCGACUAAUGUUGAAAAAUUAGCGGAUGACUUGUGGCUGGGGGUGAAAGGCCAAUCAAACCGGGAGAUAGCUGGUUCUCCCCGAAAGCUAUUUAGGUAGCGCCUCGUGAAUUCAUCUUCGGGGGUAGAGCACUGUUUCGGCUAGGGGGUCAUCCCGACUUACCAACCCGAUGCAAACUACGAAUACCGAAGAAUGUUAUCACGGGAGACACACGGCGGGUGCUAACGUCCGUCGUGAAGAGGGAAACAACCCAGACCGCCAGCUAAGGUCCCAAAGUCAUGGUUAAGUGGGAAACGAUGUGGGAAGGCACAGACAGCCAGGAUGUUGGCUUAGAAGCAGCCAUCAUUUAAAGAAAGCGUAAUAGCUCACUGGUCGAGUCGGCCUGCGCGGAAGAUGUAACGGGGCUAAACCAUGCACCGAAGCUGCGGCAGCGACACUAUGUGUUGUUGGGUAGGGGAGCGUUCUGUAAGCCUGCGAAGGUGACCUGUGAGGGUUGCUGGAGGUAUCAGAAGUGCGAAUGCUGACAUAAGUAACGAUAAAGCGGGUGAAAAGCCCGCUCGCCGGAAGACCAAGGGUUCCUGUCCAACGUUAAUCGGGGCAGGGUGAGUCGACCCCUAAGGCGAGGCCGAAAGGCGUAGUCGAUGGGAAACAGGUUAAUAUUCCUGUACUUGGUGUUACUGCGAAGGGGGGACGGAGAAGGCUAUGUUAGCCGGGCGACGGUUGUCCCGGUUUAAGCAUGUAGGCUGGUUGUCCAGGCAAAUCCGGAUAAUCAAGGCUGAGGUGUGAUGACGAGGCACUACGGUGCUGAAGUAACAAAUGCCCUGCUUCCAGGAAAAGCCUCUAAGCAUCAGGUAACAUCAAAUCGUACCCCAAACCGACACAGGUGGUCAGGUAGAGAAUACCAAGGCGCUUGAGAGAACUCGGGUGAAGGAACUAGGCAAAAUGGUGCCGUAACUUCGGGAGAAGGCACGCUGGUGUGUAGGUGAAGUCCCUGCGGAUGGAGCUGAGACCAGUCGAAGAUACCAGCUGGCUGCAACUGUUUAUUAAAAACACAGCACUGUGCAAACACGAAAGUGGACGUAUACGGUGUGACGCCUGCCCGGUGCCGGAAGGUUAAUUGAUGGGGUUAUCCGUAAGGAGAAGCUCUUGAUCGAAGCCCCGGUAAACGGCGGCCGUAACUAUAACGGUCCUAAGGUAGCGAAAUUCCUUGUCGGGUAAGUUCCGACCUGCACGAAUGGCGUAAUGAUGGCCAGGCUGUCUCCACCCGAGACUCAGUGAAAUUGAACUCGCUGUGAAGAUGCAGUGUACCCGCGGCAAGACGGAAAGACCCCGUGAACCUUUACUAUAGCUUGACACUGAACAUUGAGCCUUGAUGUGUAGGAUAGGUGGGAGGCUUUGAAGCGUGGACGCCAGUCUGCGUGGAGCCAACCUUGAAAUACCACCCUUUAAUGUUUGAUGUUCUAACGUUGGCCCCUUACCGGGGUUGCGGACAGUGUCUGGUGGGUAGUUUGACUGGGGCGGUCUCCUCCCAAAGCGUAACGGAGGAGCACGAAGGUUAGCUAAUCCUGGUCGGACAUCAGGAGGUUAGUGCAAUGGCAUAAGCUAGCUUGACUGCGAGCGUGACGGCGCGAGCAGGUGCGAAAGCAGGUCAUAGUGAUCCGGUGGUUCUGAAUGGAAGGGCCAUCGCUCAACGGAUAAAAGGUACUCCGGGGAUAACAGGCUGAUACCGCCCAAGAGUUCAUAUCGACGGCGGUGUUUGGCACCUCGAUGUCGGCUCAUCACAUCCUGGGGCUGAAGUAGGUCCCAAGGGUAUGGCUGUUCGCCAUUUAAAGUGGUACGCGAGCUGGGUUUAGAACGUCGUGAGACAGUUCGGUCCCUAUCUGCCGUGGGCGCUGGAGAAUUGAGGGGGGCUGCUCCUAGUACGAGAGGACCGGAGUGGACGCAUCACUGGUGUUCGGGUUGUCAUGCCAAUGGCACUGCCCGGUAGCUAAAUGCGGAAGAGAUAAGUGCUGAAAGCAUCUAAGCACGAAACUUGCCCCGAGAUGAGUUCUCCCUGAGACUUUAAGUCUCCUGAAGGAACGUUGAAGACGACGACGUUGAUAGGCCGGGUGUGUAAGCGCAGCGAUGCGUUGAGCUAACCGGUACUAAUGAACCGUGAGGCUUAACCUU
This 2900-nucleotide ribosomal RNA is filed under the name Klebsiella pneumoniae. RNAcentral describes it as "bacterial LSU rRNA". It matches the Rfam family "Bacterial large subunit ribosomal RNA". Lineage: Bacteria; Pseudomonadati; Pseudomonadota; Gammaproteobacteria; Enterobacterales; Enterobacteriaceae. The record is from RNAcentral.